Molecule: long non-coding RNA, 487 nt
Filed under: Malus domestica (apple)
Lineage: Eukaryota; Viridiplantae; Streptophyta; Magnoliopsida; Rosales; Rosaceae
Description: long non-coding RNA (MDOM_LNC011878)
Source: RNAcentral
GGCAAUGAAUAAAUAUUUGCACAAAUAAAUGCUUAUAUAAAUAUGCGCGAUCCGACUAGGAUUAGUGAUAUAUAUAUAUAUAUAUAUAUAUAUACACACACACACACUUGUGAAAGGUUGUGUGCCCAUAAUUAUGCCACGUGACUAGCCAUUGUCUCAAGGUAAUAGCCUUUGAUGCAAUAGUAUAUAAUAUAUUGAUCAGUUCGGUGCAUGUGUUUAGCACAUGCAAUAGAUGGAGUUAUGAUCAUUUACAAUGAUUAAGUACUGACUUUCUGUCAGCACAGUACAUUUAAUAUGGUGUUACAUGGCAUAUAAGUGAUGCAUUUGUAUUGCACUACGCAUACUGAUAUUGGUAUGUGCAUAGCAGACUUAAGUUUACAACAGCAUUAUUUAAUAAAAGCACAAGCACGCGGCAUAUGCGGUUGCAUUCUAGCAACAAGUAUAUAUAUAUAUAUAUAUAUACUGUUGUGAUGCCAACUAUCAUUAU